GCAGCACAAGGGAUGGGGAGGGACGGUCAGUGCAUCUGGCUGCUGCUAACCAGAAGGUUGCUGGUUCGAGCCCACCCAGGGACG
Podarcis lilfordi (Lilford's wall lizard) is the source of this 84-nucleotide non-coding RNA. The record is from the annotation of a GenBank genome assembly. Lineage: Eukaryota; Metazoa; Chordata; Lepidosauria; Squamata; Lacertidae.